GAUGAACGCUGGCGGCGUGCCUAAUACAUGCAAGUCGAGCGAACGGACGAGAAGCUUGCUUCUCUGAUGUUAGCGGCGGACGGGUGAGUAACACGUGGAUAACCUACCUAUAAGACUGGGAUAACUUCGGGAAACCGUAGCUAAUACCGGAUAAUAUUUUGAACCGCAUGGUUCAAAAGUGAAAGACGGUCUUGCUGUCACUUAUAGAUGGAUCCGCGCUGCAUUAGCUAGUUGGUAAGGUAACGGCUUACCAAGGCAACGAAGCAUAGCCGACCUGAGAGGGUGAUCGGCCACACUGGAACUGAGACACGGUCCAGACUCCUACGGGAGGCAGCAGUAGGGAAUCUUCCGCAAUGGGCGAAAGCCUGACGGAGCAACGCCGCGUGAGUGAUGAAGGUCUUCGGAUCGUAAAACUCUGUUAUUAGGGAAGAACAUAUGUGUAAGUAACUGUGCACAUCUUGACGGUACCUAAUCAGAAAGCCACGGCUAACUACGUG
This 497-nucleotide ribosomal RNA is filed under the name uncultured bacterium. RNAcentral describes it as "partial 16S ribosomal RNA". It matches the Rfam family "Bacterial small subunit ribosomal RNA", at positions 28 to 507 of the family's 1533-position model. The record is from RNAcentral.